AUUCUAAUAUUUUUUUUCUUUUCUUUUCUUGAUAUGUUAUUUCCUUUGCUGAUCCUUCUCUUCUUCAUAUGAACAGGCCCCCAGCUAGAUUGACGAGAAAGUUUAUUUUGCACAUGGUCUUUUCUGGUUUUGUCCUUGUAGCAAGAAGUACAUUUUUAUAACAAUAUCAACUUUGCUCUGGUGUGUGCAAUGAUUUCAUUCAGAUACAGACCUUUUGGAAAUUGUGGUUUUCUUUUGUAUUUUUGUCCUAAUAUGGAAUGUUCUAUUGCUGGAUUGAAUUACUCUCUCAGCAUUUUUAUUUUGACAUAUUAUAAUGCUCAGUUUGUUUACAGGCUGCUGAAUACUGUCGGGGGAAGGAAUCAGUGCUGAGGUGAUCAGCAUUCGAUCAGUUAGGCCACUGGAUAGAGCUGCGAUAAAAGCAUAUGUUACGAAAAUAAAUAGGUUGGUGAUUCUUGAAGAAGGCUCCCCCCAACAUCGUGUUGGUGCUGAGAUAUGGUUUUCUCUCUCUCUCUCUCCACACACAUCCCAACCCUCUUCCAAUUAUUCAUUCAAAUUAUUGUACAGAAUCUACAAUUAUAAGAAAGAAGAAUUUGAUAAAUUAGAGAGAGAUAUGCUUUCAUAAAUUGCUCACCCCUGAAGGUUACAAAUUCAAGUGCUGGGUUCGAAGGAUGAAGCAAAUCCCAAGUCACAUGUUAAUAUAUCUUGAUGCACAUUUGUAUUUACUUUGCUUCAGGUUCGCAUGCAGUGACGGAGAUUCAUCGGCUCGCCUCCAUUUUCUUGGUGAACCCACAUUUCCCUCUAAGGUACAUUCUGAAGGAGAAGAUUGCUGGUUGAGAAGGCCAUUUAUCUGAUAUUAGUUUAUUGAAGAAAUUGCCCAUGAUGUAUUUUCAGUACAUUAGGAUUUUUGUAGUCGCAUGGUUCUGAUAGGAAGAUACCGUUUCUACUAGGUCAACAAUCUCCCCUUCAAUAAUAUUUGAUUUACAUUUUGUAUGCCAUUCAUCGAAUCAAUGUGGAUUACAAUGACCACUCA
Molecule: non-coding RNA, 1030 nt
Organism: Triticum urartu
Lineage: Eukaryota; Viridiplantae; Streptophyta; Magnoliopsida; Poales; Poaceae
Source: RefSeq, a predicted model, not a curated record